AUCUUCCACGAUGGGCGAAAGCCUGAUGGAGCAACGCCGCGUGAGUGAAGAAGGAUUUCGGUUCGUAAAACUCUGUUGUAAGGGAAGAACAAGUACAGUAGUAACUGCCUGUACCUUGACGGUACCUUAUUCGAAAGCCACGGCUAACUACGUUCCUGCAGGCGCGGUAAUACGUAGGGGGCAAGCGUUGUCCGGAAUGAUUGGGCGUAAAGCGUGCUCAGGUGGUUUCUUAAGUCUGAUGUGAAAGCCCACGGCUGAACCGUGGAGGGUCAUUGGGAACUGGGAGACUUGAGUGCAGAAGAGGAUAGUGGAAUUCCAAGUGUAGCGGUGAAAUGCGUAGAGAUUUGGAGGAACACCAGUGGCGAAGGCGACUAUCUGGUCUGUAACUGACACUGAGGCGCGAAAGCGUGGGGAGCAAACAGG
Molecule: ribosomal RNA, 423 nt
Filed under: uncultured bacterium
Lineage: Bacteria
Description: partial 16S ribosomal RNA
Rfam family: Bacterial small subunit ribosomal RNA
Source: RNAcentral